UUACCAGCUUAAAUGGACAGAAAUUCUUCGGACCAAGGUGCUGCAUGGUUGUCGUCAGCUCGUGCCGUGAGGUGUCAGGUUAAGUCCUAUAACGAGCGCAACCCUGUUUUAGUUGCCAGCGUACGGGACUCUAGAAGACUGCCGGUGCAACCGGAGGAAGGUGGGGAUGACGUCAAAUCAUCACGGCCCUUACGCUGGGCUACACACGUGCUACAAUGGGGUACAAGAGGCAAUGCAAAUGGAGCAAUCUAUAAACCUUCUCAGUUCGGAUCGGAGUCUGCAACUCGACUCCGUGAAGCUGGAUUCGCUAGUAAUCGCAAUCAGCAUGUGCGGUGAAUACGUUCCCGGGCCUUGUACACACCGCCCGUCAAGCCAUGGAAGCUGGGGACCGAA
RNAcentral lists this ribosomal RNA (393 nucleotides) under uncultured bacterium. Its description in RNAcentral is "bacterial SSU rRNA". It matches the Rfam family "Bacterial small subunit ribosomal RNA", at positions 971 to 1425 of the family's 1533-position model. The record is from RNAcentral.